Molecule: ribosomal RNA, 460 nt
Filed under: uncultured bacterium
Lineage: Bacteria
Description: partial 16S ribosomal RNA
Rfam family: Bacterial small subunit ribosomal RNA
Source: RNAcentral
CCUACGGGUGGCAGCAGUGAGGAAUAUUGGUCAAUGGGCGUAAGCCUGAACCAGCCAAGUCGCGUGAGGGAUGAAGGUUCUAUGGAUCGUAAACCUCUUUUAUAAGGGAAUAAAGUGUUGGUAGUGUCCUAUUUUGUAUGUACCUUAUGAAUAAGGAUCGGCUAACUCCGUGCCAGCAGCCGAGGUAAUACGGAGGAUCCGAGCGUUAUCCGGAUUUAUUGGGUUUAAAGGGUGCGUAGGCGGCCUUUUAAGUUAGCGGUGAAAGUCUGUGGCUCAACCAUAGAAUUGCCGUUGAAACUGGGGGGCUUGAGUAUGUUUGAGGCAGGCGGAAUGCGUGGUGUAGGGGUGAAAGGCUUAGAUAUCACGCAGAACCCCGAUUGCGAAGGCAGCCUGCCAAGCCAUGACUGACGCUGAUGCACGAAAGCGUGGGGAUCAAACAGGAUUAGAUACCCUUGUAGUC